This 489-nucleotide ribosomal RNA is filed under the name uncultured Bacillota bacterium. RNAcentral describes it as "uncultured Firmicutes bacterium partial 16S ribosomal RNA". The record is from RNAcentral. Lineage: Bacteria; Bacillati; Bacillota.
CACGUAGUUAGCCGGAGCUUAUUCUACAGGUACUGUCUUUUUUCUUCCCUGUCUAAAGCAGUUUACAAUCCGAAAACCUUCUUCCUGCACGCGGCGUCACUGCGUCAGAGUUUCCUCCAUUGCGCAAUAUUCCCGACUGCUGCCUCCCGUAGGAGUCUGGGCCGUAUCUCAGUCCCAAUGUGGCCGUUCAACCUCUCAGUUCGGCUACUGAUCGUUGACUUGGUAGGCCGUUACCCCACCAACUAUCUAAUCAGACGCAAGCCCAUCUAUCAGCGGAUUGCUCCUUUCCCUAUUGUAUCAUGUGAUACUUAGGUAUAUGCGGUAUUAGCAGUCAUUUCUAACUGUUGUUCCCCUCUGAUAGGCAGGUUGCUUACGUGUUACUCACCAGUCCGCCACUAACCGCUCCAAUAGUAAACUAAUGGUUAAGUCCGUUCGACUUGCAUGUCUUAUGUGCGCCGCCAGCGUUUAUCCUGAGCCAGGAUCAAACUC